RNAcentral lists this ribosomal RNA (433 nucleotides) under uncultured bacterium. RNAcentral's name for it is "partial 16S ribosomal RNA". It matches the Rfam family "Bacterial small subunit ribosomal RNA", at positions 29 to 507 of the family's 1533-position model. The record is from RNAcentral.
AACGAACGCUGGCGGCAUGCCUAACACAUGCAAGUCGAACGAGACCUUCGGGUCUAGUGGCGCACGGGUGCGUAACGCGUGGGAACCUGCCCUUAGGUUCGGAAUAACUCCCCGAAAGGGGUGCUAAUACCGGAUAAUGUCUUCGGACCAAAGAUUUAUCGCCUUUGGAUGGGCCCGCGUUGGAUUAGCUAGUUGGUAGGGUAAAAGCCUACCAAGGCGACGAUCCAUAGCUGGUCUGAGAGGAUGAUCAGCCACACUGGGACUGAGACACGGCCCAGACUCCUACGGGAGGCAGCAGUGGGGAAUGUUGGACAAUGGGCGAAAGCCUGAUCCAGCAAUGCCGCGUGAGUGAUGAAGGCCUUAGGGUUGUAAAGCGCUUUUACCCGGGAUGAUAAUGACAGUACCGGGAGAAUAAGCUCCGGCUAACUCCGUG